This 544-nucleotide ribosomal RNA is filed under the name uncultured Ascomycota. RNAcentral describes it as "SSU rRNA". It matches the Rfam family "Eukaryotic small subunit ribosomal RNA", at positions 548 to 1098 of the family's 1831-position model. The record is from RNAcentral. Lineage: Eukaryota; Fungi; Ascomycota.
UUGGAGGGCAAGUCUGGUGCCAGCAGCCGCGGUAAUUCCAGCUCCAAUAGCGUAUAUUAAAGUUGUUGUGGUUAAAAAGCUCGUAGUUGAACCUUGGGCCUGGCUGGCCGGUCCGCCUCACCGCGUGUACUGGUCCGGCCGGGCCUUUCCCUCUGUGGAACCCCAUGCCCUUCACUGGGCGUGGCGGGGAAGCAGGACUUUUACUUUGAAAAAAUUAGAGUGCUCCAGGCAGGCCUAUGCUCGAAUAUAUUAGCAUGGAAUAAUAGAAUAGGACGUGCGGUUCUAUUCUGUUGGUUUCUAGGACCGCCGUAAUGAUUAAUAGGGACAGUCGGGGGCAUCAGUAUUCAAUUGUCAGAGGUGAAAUUCUUGGAUUUAUUGAAGACUAACUACUGCGAAAGCAUUUGCCAAGGAUGUUUUCAUUAAUCAGGAACGAAAGUUAGGGGAUCGAAGACGAUCAGAUACCGUCGUAGUCUUAACCAUAAACUAUGCCGACUAGGGAUCGGACGGUGUUAUUUUUUGACCCGUUCGGCACCUUACGGGAAAC